Molecule: long non-coding RNA, 2221 nt
Organism: Heterocephalus glaber (naked mole-rat)
Lineage: Eukaryota; Metazoa; Chordata; Mammalia; Rodentia; Bathyergidae
Source: Ensembl
CAAGUAGAAUUGCUGGGUCACGGGCUAAUUCCAUGUGUAUCUUUUUCAGGAACUGCUACACUCUUUCAUAGCAGCUAUACCACUCUACAUCCAUCAACAGUGCACUGAGUCUCCAGUUCCCCCAUGUCCAACCCAGUGCUCAUUAGUUUCUCUUUUUGUCUUGCUGAUGGUGUGAGGUAGCAUCUUAUGGCUCUGAUGUGCAGCUUCCCAGUGGAAUAAAUUCCCUGUCCCAUUCUGCCCCUUCUAAGUAUCAUUCCAAAAGAGUUAAAGGCAUCAUACUAUAGCGACCCAUGCACACCCAUGUUUAUCGAAGGACAACUCAUAAUAGCUAAAUAUUGGAAGUGACCUUUGUGUCCAUCAACAGAUGAAUAGAUAAAGGAAAUGUUCUUAUACACAAUGGAGUGCUACUCUGCUAUAAAGAAGGAAAACUUGAAUCAUAUUUAGGAAAAUGGAUGCACCUUGAGAUUAUAUUAAGUGAAAUAAAUCAGAUACACAAGCUUAAAUAUUGCAUGGUUUCUCUUAUAUUGAAAAAAACCAAUGUAUGCAUAAUUUAAGAACAAAAAUAAAAGCUAAUAGGAAACAGAAAGAUCUUUUGCAAAUAGGAAGAGAGCCAAGAGAUAAAGUGGGGAAAGGGGAAACAAAAAGAAUUAAAAUGUGUUAGGUACGUGUACCAACUCCCCACAAUGAAUGUAAUCAUUAUGUACUGCAAACACAUACUAAUAAAAACCUUUUAAAAAAAAUUUUAGGGCUGGGGAUUUAGCCCAGUGGUUUUGCCACCUGCUGCGCAAGCGCAAGGACCCGAGUUCAAUCCCCAGUACCAAAAAAAAAAUUUAUUCAGGGAUUCUGCCAUCUGCCUCGUAAGCGCAAGGUCCCAAGUUCAAUCCUUGGUACAAAAUAAAUAAAUAAAAAUAAAAAAUUUUAAAGUAAUUUCCCUGUCUCUAGUAAUGUUGACAAGUCCUUGUGGACAGUUUGUGUGUCAACUCUGGAGAAAUGUAAUAGACAUUAGUAGCAAAUUCUUUGCCCAUUUUUUAUUUAGGUUAUUUGGUUUUCUGUCAUUGAGUGAUACUAACUAGUAUUUAUUAAGCUCACAUUGUACUAGGAAAGUAUGCUCUAGAACAAACAGACAUGUGCUAACCCUGGCAGACUAAUAAUUUGGCAAUCCUCCAAACCCAUCAUCUUUAAAUAAUGUGCUAAACAUUUAUGGGGGUGGGGUGGUCAGGAGGAAACUGAUUUCCUGGGGGUUUUUUGUUUUUUGUUUUUUUGGUGCCAGAGAUCGAACACAGGACUUUGCACUUGCAAGGCAGGCGCCGGAACCACUGAGCUAAAUCCCUGGCCCCUGAUUUCCUGUUUUUAAAUGUUAUGUAUAGAAACAGACUUGCUAGUUCAUUUCUACUGGUCACGGUGCCAUCCAUGUGUAGACAAAAGUUUCCUUUGACAGACUCUUCCCCACUUUGCUGAAUUUCUUGUUCUCUCUUCAGUUUUUGUCUCUGAUUUUCCUAAAGCAGAUAAAAUCUUGGGAGGCCUAUUAAGGCUUAGAAUUCCACUAAUGAAGUGAGUCACCCCUUCCCAGGGACCAGCACCAGGCCAGCAUGACAUCGCAAUUUCAGCCGAGUGUCCCUGGCGACUUUCAGUGAUGGAGAUGGAGACUGCACACGAUUGCUGGAGAACACACACAGGAAUUUGUUUCUUGGUUGAGUAACAUUUUUGAUGAAAUAAGCAACAAAACGCAGGGCAUCAGAAUGACCGCUGCAGUAAUGAAACAAUUGAGAUGCCCACCAAAGACAGCUGGAAAUCGGACAACGAAGAUGGAGAAGACUUAACAGUUUUAAUAAACUGGAACCAAGUGACAACACGCGUAGUUCAGUUUUGCCGUGCUCUGGCCUGAGUUUGAAGCUGGAAUACUUGUAGCAGUUUGAGUAAGGAGUGUCUAGGAGUGGCUCUCUGAGUUUUUCCUGCUUGAAGUAGAAGAUUAGUAUUGUUUACAAUAUUCCACAAUUUGGGGCCGUUAUUUCAAGAAUUUUUCUGUGCCUGCUCUGCUCUCUGGAUUCCCCUCUUGUACAGUGUGCUGCUGUCUGAGAUCUUACCAUUGGAUUCUCUUCAUUUUUCUGCAUUCCUCAGACUUGGUAAUCUCUUCAAAUUCACCGAUUCUUCUUCCUGCUUAAAGCUGUUGUUGCACUGCUCUAGUAAAUUUCUCACUGCAAUUACUAGAGGUAAGUUUUUG